RNAcentral lists this transfer RNA (76 nucleotides) under Caenorhabditis japonica. RNAcentral's name for it is "tRNA CJA47902". The stretch from base 8 to 63 matches the Rfam family "tRNA", at positions 9 to 63 of the family's 71-position model. From Rfam's summary of the family: Transfer RNA (tRNA) molecules are approximately 80 nucleotides in length. Their secondary structure includes four short double-helical elements and three loops (D, anti-codon, and T loops). Further hydrogen bonds mediate the characteristic L-shaped molecular structure. tRNAs have two regions of fundamental functional importance: the anti-codon, which is responsible for specific mRNA codon recognition, and the 3' end, to which the tRNAs corresponding amino acid is attached (by aminoacyl-tRNA synthetases). tRNAs cope with the degeneracy of the genetic code in two manners: having more than one tRNA (with a specific anti-codon) for a particular amino acid; and 'wobble' base-pairing, i.e. permitting non-standard base-pairing at the 3rd anti-codon position. Lineage: Eukaryota; Metazoa; Nematoda; Chromadorea; Rhabditida; Rhabditidae. The record is from RNAcentral.
ACCUGUGAGCUCAGUGGCAGAGCAUUCGACUGCAGAUCGAGAGGUCCCCGGUUCAACUCCGGGUGCCCCCUAGUUC